GUAGCUCAGUGGUAGAGCACUUGCCUAGCAUGUGUGAGGCACUGGGUUCAAAUCUCAGC
RNAcentral lists this transfer RNA (59 nucleotides) under Ictidomys tridecemlineatus (thirteen-lined ground squirrel). RNAcentral's name for it is "Spermophilus tridecemlineatus (thirteen-lined ground squirrel) tRNA". It matches the Rfam family "tRNA", at positions 7 to 64 of the family's 71-position model. From Rfam's summary of the family: Transfer RNA (tRNA) molecules are approximately 80 nucleotides in length. Their secondary structure includes four short double-helical elements and three loops (D, anti-codon, and T loops). Lineage: Eukaryota; Metazoa; Chordata; Mammalia; Rodentia; Sciuridae. The record is from Rfam by way of RNAcentral.